GGGUUGGGGAUGGGAGUAGUGGUCGGGAAUGGGGAGCUGGACCUCGUGGGCUACCGGGGGGCUGUGCUUGGGUUUGUGUGCGGUUGCGUGUGCGUGUGCGUGUGCGUGUCCUAGGUCCUCCAGGGAAGGACCCGGAAGAAACCGGCCGAGGAAAAGGUCUCUAUGGGAGGUCAGGUACGCAGCUCUGUCAACUUGACGGGGCAGCCGGAGACAGGUGAGUAGAGAUACAUACACACUAGUUCAGGCACGACUGGUAACGCACACAUCGAUGCCUCCGAAGGUUCCGGGAUCGAGACGGGCCAAGGUCGAAAAUCCUUCCGGCGGUGGAAGGUAAGAGUGCCCCUAGUCGAUGGACGGUGGUGACCUGGGAUAAAGUAGACCUGCGGGCUGACCAGGAAUGGAGUUGAGCCGCCGUUGAUUCAGCAGAUUCCUUUGGAUGCCGGCGGUGGGUGCUGAACCUGAUCAAUCCACUGAGAAGUAGGCUAGAGUGACUGGAUGAGGGUGCAACGAGAUACCGGGGAAGGCAGGGUUUCGCCAGGUAGCGGCCACGGGUGAAGAUAUGGGCCCUCUGGCCUCCCCCCGGCCAUAUUUUUAGGUAUUUUCAGGCACUCCAGUCCGUGUGUGCCCCGCCUCCGGACGUACCUUCAGCGUCAUGGCUUCCUCGUGCAGUCCGGCGGCUUGGCAUGCCUGCCGUACAUCUGCAGUACUCACGGCCCGCCACGCCGCCGCCACCGCCACGUUGUCCUCCAGGGAGGUCCGGAAGACCCCGCACAUCGACCUGCCGCCACCGCCAGCCCGUUACCACCAGCGCCG
RNAcentral lists this long non-coding RNA (813 nucleotides) under Volvox carteri. RNAcentral describes it as "long non-coding RNA (VCAR_LNC002176)". The record is from RNAcentral. Lineage: Eukaryota; Viridiplantae; Chlorophyta; Chlorophyceae; Chlamydomonadales; Volvocaceae.